RNAcentral lists this ribosomal RNA (520 nucleotides) under uncultured Glomus. Its description in RNAcentral is "SSU rRNA". It matches the Rfam family "Eukaryotic small subunit ribosomal RNA", at positions 569 to 1092 of the family's 1831-position model. Lineage: Eukaryota; Fungi; Glomeromycota; Glomeromycetes; Glomerales; Glomeraceae. The record is from RNAcentral.
AGCAGCCGCGGUAAUUCCAGCUCCAAUAGCGUAUAUUAAAGUUGUUGCAGUUAAAAAGCUCGUAGUUGAAUUUCGAGAUCGGCUUACUGGUCGUGCUUUUGUACGUACUGGUAAAUCGGUUUCUCCUUUCUGACGAACUUUAAUGCCAUUAAUUUGGUGUUUUAGGGAAUCAGGACUGUUACUUUGAAAAAAUUAGAGUGUUUAAAGCAGGCUCACGCUUGAAUACAUUAGCAUGGAAUAACGGAAUAGGACGUUUGAUUUUAUUUUGUUGGUUUCUAGGAUCGACGUUAAUGAUUAAUAGGGAUAGUUGGGGGCAUUAGUAUUCAAUUGUCAGAGGUGAAAUUCUUGGAUUUAUUGAAGACUAACUACUGCGAAAGCAUUUGCCAAGGAUGUUUUCAUUAAUCAAGAACGAAAGUUAGGGGAUCGAAGACGAUCAGAUACCGUCGUAGUCUUAACCAUAAACUAUGCCGACUAGGGAUCGGAUGAUGUUAAUUUUUAAUGACUCAUUCGGCGCCUUACG